ACGACAUGAUGGGGACAUUUUUGAAUGUGAUCCUCUAUUCUCUCCCAUGACUCAUGGAUCCGCUCGCCAUCUUGUUGAGAGAAGCUAGUGAGAGCUCGUCUUAUCUG
RNAcentral lists this small nucleolar RNA (107 nucleotides) under Cephalotus follicularis. Its description in RNAcentral is "Plant small nucleolar RNA R71". It matches the Rfam family "Plant small nucleolar RNA R71". Rfam says of the family: R71 is a member of the C/D box family of snoRNAs containing the C (UGAUGA) and D (CUGA) box motifs. Lineage: Eukaryota; Viridiplantae; Streptophyta; Magnoliopsida; Oxalidales; Cephalotaceae. The record is from Rfam by way of RNAcentral.